Molecule: ribosomal RNA, 752 nt
Filed under: Bacillus altitudinis
Lineage: Bacteria; Bacillati; Bacillota; Bacilli; Caryophanales; Bacillaceae
Description: bacterial SSU rRNA
Rfam family: Bacterial small subunit ribosomal RNA
Source: RNAcentral
UAUAAUGCAGUCGAGCGGACAGAAGGGAGCUUGCUCCCGGAUGUUAGCGGCGGACGGGUGAGUAACACGUGGGUAACCUGCCUGUAAGACUGGGAUAACUCCGGGAAACCGGAGCUAAUACCGGAUAGUUCCUUGAACCGCAUGGUUCAAGGAUGAAAGACGGUUUCGGCUGUCACUUACAGAUGGACCCGCGGCGCAUUAGCUAGUUGGUGAGGUAACGGCUCACCAAGGCGACGAUGCGUAGCCGACCUGAGAGGGUGAUCGGCCACACUGGGACUGAGACACGGCCCAGACUCCUACGGGAGGCAGCAGUAGGGAAUCUUCCGCAAUGGACGAAAGUCUGACGGAGCAACGCCGCGUGAGUGAUGAAGGUUUUCGGAUCGUAAAGCUCUGUUGUUAGGGAAGAACAAGUGCAAGAGUAACUGCUUGCACCUUGACGGUACCUAACCAGAAAGCCACGGCUAACUACGUGCCAGCAGCCGCGGUAAUACGUAGGUGGCAAGCGUUGUCCGGAAUUAUUGGGCGUAAAGGGCUCGCAGGCGGUUUCUUAAGUCUGAUGUGAAAGCCCCCGGCUCAACCGGGGAGGGUCAUUGGAAACUGGGAAACUUGAGUGCAGAAGAGGAGAGUGGAAUUCCACGUGUAGCGGUGAAAUGCGUAGAGAUGUGGAGGAACACCAGUGGCGAAGGCGACUCUCUGGUCUGUAACUGACGCUGAGGAGCGAAAGCGUGGGGAGCGAACAGGAUUAGAUACCC